Molecule: ribosomal RNA, 394 nt
Filed under: uncultured bacterium
Lineage: Bacteria
Description: partial 16S ribosomal RNA
Rfam family: Bacterial small subunit ribosomal RNA
Source: RNAcentral
AUACGUAGGGAGCGAGCGUUGUCCGGAAUUACUGGGCGUAAAGGGCGCGUAGGCGGCGCUUCAAGUCGUCUGUCAAAUGGGAGGGCUUAACCCUUUUUCGCAGACGAAACUGGAGAGCUUGAGAAGCAGAGAGGCAAACAGAACUCCUGGUGUAGCGGUGAAAUGCGUAGAUAUCAGGAAGAAUACCAGUGGCGAAGGCGGUUUGCUGGCUGCAUACUGACGCUGAAGCGCGAAAGCCAGGGGAGCAAACGGGAUUAGAUACCCCGGUAGUCCUGGCAGUAAACGAUGUAUGCUGGGUGUGAGACUAGCGAUAGUUUCGUGCCGAAGUUAACGCGAUAAGCAUACCGCCUGGGGAGUACGGUCGCAAGAUUGAAACUCAAAGGAAUUGACGGGG